This is a long non-coding RNA of Armigeres subalbatus, 573 nucleotides long. RefSeq lists it as uncharacterized. NCBI's taxonomy places the organism in Eukaryota, Metazoa, Arthropoda, Insecta, Diptera, Culicidae. The record is from RefSeq and is a predicted model, not a curated record. The transcript is spliced from 4 exons.
GCAAAAGUAGCCAUCAAAACAGAGUGCAAAACAAAACCAAAAUUCCACUGCAAACCACUGCAAAAUUAGUUUUGCAAUGUCCACAGCGCAGAUGCUACUUUUUAUUUUUGGAUUGCUUAUUAAACGAAAGGCUUUUGGAAAUAGUCCGAUCGUACCGCGGUUUGCCGUCUCCCGCCAUGACCACUACCUAACGGUUUCCCCCUGCCGCAAAACUCAAGUUUAUGCUGAAUCGGAAGCUCCAUGCUACGAUAAACCGAAGUGUUUGCAGUGAUCAGCAAUGAUUCCCCCCACGGGGAAUGUCGAUCUUGUUGAUGCUGUUCUUUUUCCUGCUGGACCAGCUAAUCGAUUAAAAGAGUCAGUAUGGUUCCUGACAGCUUGUAUUGUGGAACGGGAAGUUGACCAUCAUUGACCUGAACCUGGAAGCGUUGGACAGUAAGUUCAUGUUCUGUACAAACUGCCAGAUGGCCGCAGUGAUUCUGAGGAAAUCGCGCAUCGAGACCAUCAGCUAAGGACUAGCGUCGGAGGACAGCCAGGAGAGGAAUCUCCCGUGAGGAUUUUAUAAAGUUGAAAAUG